UUUCCGUAGGUGAACCUGCGGAAGGAUCAUUAAAGAGAUCAUGCCCUCACGGGUAGACCUCCCACCCUUUGUUUACAAUACCUUUGUUGCUUUGGCGGGCCCGUUUGGCCCCGCGCUGAACAACCGGCCCCGGCUGGUCAGUGCCCGCCAGAGAACGAAAACUCUGAAUUAAAUGUCGUCUGAGUACUAUGUAAUAGUUAAAACUUUCAACAACGGAUCUCUUGGUUCUG
RNAcentral lists this unclassified non-coding RNA (230 nucleotides) under plant metagenome. RNAcentral describes it as "partial contains small subunit ribosomal RNA, internal transcribed spacer 1, and 5.8S ribosomal RNA". The record is from RNAcentral.